ACCAACUAUAUAUAUAGUGGAAAUGAGUGCUGCUUAUUGAGUUUACCCCCAAAUGCUAACUUUUCCAGAUUGUCUUAUCUGCCAAACAGCACAUCUUAUUUUCUUCUUGGAGAUGAUGAAAUAGUUUGCAAACAGAGAUCCAAACUGAGCUGAGCUGAUGGCUACCAGCACUUGGAUGACUUCACGAUGUGUUUCUUGUGGAGUGGUGGCUACAAUGAUAGAGCGUAGUCGUUGCAGGAUUUAGGCGCAUUCAGUCAACAAAUGACUACUUGAUUGAGACGAUACACCCAUGUAUGAGACAUCACAGACUGAGAUAACAUACACCAAAUCUUGUGGAUAAACAACACUUUGCGAACACUGUGCAAACCGAGGAAAGACUUUUCCGGUGACGAAUCAGCCAGAUGACUCGCCAGUACAAGGUCCUUUUGGAAUAUAUUUCAGAAUGCUGAAGCUAACCAACACUCUGUGGACAGUGUGCACAACUCUGAUGAAGGACUUUUCCUGUGACAAAUCUAGACAUAAGACUCCCUACUACAAGUUUAAUUGUUGGAGUGCAAGUCAGAAUGUUGAA
Asterias rubens (European starfish) is the source of this 571-nucleotide long non-coding RNA. RefSeq lists it as uncharacterized. The record is from RefSeq and is a predicted model, not a curated record. The transcript is spliced from 3 exons. Lineage: Eukaryota; Metazoa; Echinodermata; Asteroidea; Forcipulatida; Asteriidae.